This 1360-nucleotide ribosomal RNA is filed under the name uncultured bacterium. Its description in RNAcentral is "16S ribosomal RNA". It matches the Rfam family "Bacterial small subunit ribosomal RNA", at positions 28 to 1380 of the family's 1533-position model. The record is from RNAcentral.
GAUGAACGCUAGCUACAGGCUUAACACAUGCAAGUCGAGGGGCAGCAUGGUCUUAGCUUGCUAAGGCCGAUGGCGACCGGCGCACGGGUGAGUAACGCGUAUCCAACCUGCCUUACACUCUUGGACAGCCUUCUGAAAGGGAGAUUAAUACAAGAUGUUAUCAUGAGUAAGCAUUUUCGCAUGAUUAAAGGUUUACCGGUGUAAGAUGGGGAUGCGUUCCAUUAGAUAGUAGGCGGGGUAACGGCCCACCUAGUCUUCGAUGGAUAGGGGUUCUGAGAGGAAGGUCCCCCACAUUGGAACUGAGACACGGUCCAAACUCCUACGGGAGGCAGCAGUGAGGAAUAUUGGUCAAUGGACGAGAGUCUGAACCAGCCAAGUAGCGUGAAGGAUGAAGGUUCUAUGGAUUGUAAACUUCUUUUAUACGGGAAUAAACGAAUCCACGUGUGGAUUUUUGCAUGUACCGUAUGAAUAAGGAUCGGCUAACUCCGUGCCAGCAGCCGCGGUAAUACGGAGGAUCCGAGCGUUAUCCGGAUUUAUUGGGUUUAAAGGGAGCGUAGAUGGGUUGUUAAGUCAGUUGUGAAAGUUUGCGGCUCAACCGUAAAAUUGCAAUUGAUACUGGCAGUCUUGAGUACAGUUGAGGUAGGCGGAAUUCGUGGUGUAGCGGUGAAAUGCUUAGAUAUCACGAAGAACUCCGAUUGCGAAGGCAGCUUACUAACCUGUAACUGACAUUGAUGCUCGAAAGUGUGGGUAUCAAACAGGAUUAGAUACCCUGGUAGUCCACACGGUAAACGAUGAAUACUCGCUGUAGGCGAUAUACAGUCUGCGGCCAAGCGAAAGCAUUAAGUAUUCCACCUGGGGAGUACGCCGGCAACGGUGAAACUCAAAGGAAUUGACGGGGGCCCGCACAAGCGGAGGAACAUGUGGUUUAAUUCGAUGAUACGCGAGGAACCUUACCCGGGCUUAAAUUGCAACCGAAUAUGGCGGAAACGCUAUAGCUAGCAAUAGCGGUUGUGAAGGUGCUGCAUGGUUGUCGUCAGCUCGUGCCGUGAGGUGUCGGCUUAAGUGCCAUAACGAGCGCAACCCUUGCCGAUAGUUACUAACAGGUUAUGCUGAGGACUCUGUCGGGACUGCCAUCGUAAGAUGUGAGGAAGGUGGGGAUGACGUCAAAUCAGCACGGCCCUUACGUCCGGGGCUACACACGUGUUACAAUGGGGGGUACAGAGGGCUGCUACCACGCAAGUGGAUGCCAAUCCCAAAAACCUCUCUCAGUUCGGAUUGAAGUCUGCAACCCGACUUCAUGAAGCUGGAUUCGCUAGUAAUCGCGCUUCAGCCACGGCGCGGUGAAUACGUUUCCCGGGCC